This 467-nucleotide ribosomal RNA is filed under the name uncultured bacterium. RNAcentral's name for it is "partial 16S ribosomal RNA". It matches the Rfam family "Bacterial small subunit ribosomal RNA", at positions 28 to 507 of the family's 1533-position model. The record is from RNAcentral.
GAUGAACGCUGGCGGCGUGCUUAACACAUGCAAGUCGAACGAUGAUGCCCAGCUUGCUGGGUGGAUUAGUGGCGAACGGGUGAGUAACACGUGAGUAACCUGUCCUUGACUCUGGGGUAAGCCUUGGAAACUGGGUCUCAUACCGGAUAUGACCAUCUCGCCCACGUGAUGGUGGUGGAAAGCUUUUGUGGUUUUGGAUGGACUCGCGGCCUAUCAGCUUGUUGGUGGGGUAAUGGCCUACCAAGGCCACGACGGGUAGCCGGCCUGAGAGGGUGACCGGCCACACUGGGACUGAGACACGGCCCAGACUCCUACGGGAGGCAGCAGUGGGGAAUAUUGCACAAUGGGCGCAAGCCUGAUGCAGCGACGCCGCGUGAGGGAUGACGGCCUUCGGGUUGUAAACCGCUUUCAGUAGGGAAGAAGCGAAAGUGACGGUACCUGGAGAAGAAGCGCCGGCUAACUACGUG